CAGCAGAAAGAUUUCGGGUUUGUAUUUUAUCUGUUCUCCUGUAAUUUCUUGCACCGAUUUCCAAUUUUUUGUCUAGUCAAGUGUCUAUUUAUGAAGUGGACAAGCAAGAUUGUCGCAAGUUUUGCACCACUGGCAUUGACGGAGCCAUGACCAUCUGGGACUUCAAGACUUUGGAGUCCUCCAUUCAGGGUCUACAGAUAAUGUAGAACGGAUUCUUGGUUCCUCUAGCAAGACAGCCUCUUCUGAAGCCUGCACAGACUUGAAAAGACAGGGUGAAGAUGGAUCACACUUUUGUUUUGUUUUGUUUUCUAAAGCACUGAAAAAAACGACGACUUGGUGAAAUAUUUCCACCCCCUCAUUUUCCCUCCCCCUCCCCUUUGGUGAUAUAUAUAUUGAUCUGCCAAUCACCUGUGAUCGUAGUAUAUAUUUUGGGUUUCUGGGUUCGUUGUUGUUUUUUUAAUUGUCCUUGGAUGUUGUUGUUUUUUUUUUUAUCCCCUCCUUUUACCAAAGCUGCUCCUUAAAAUAAAGUUUAUUGCAGGAAGUAUGGAACACUAACUUAAACCCGGGGGAGUUCUUUGUUCAGCUUGUCUGCUAGAAAAUAAUUAAAAUUAAAAC
Thamnophis sirtalis is the source of this 615-nucleotide non-coding RNA. Lineage: Eukaryota; Metazoa; Chordata; Lepidosauria; Squamata; Natricidae. The record is from RefSeq and is a predicted model, not a curated record.